GGGUUGUGAGGUUAAGCGACUAAGCGUACACGGUGGAUGCCCUGGCAGUCAGAGGCGAUGAAGGACGUGCUAAUCUGCGAUAAGCGCCGGUAAGGUGAUAUGAACCGUUAUAACCGGCGAUUUCCGAAUGGGGAAACCCAGUGUGAUUCGUCACACUAUCAUUAACUGAAUCCAUAGGUUAAUGAGGCGAACCGGGGGAACUGAAACAUCUAAGUACCCCGAGGAAAAGAAAUCAACCGAGAUUCCCCCAGUAGCGGCGAGCGAACGGGGAGGAGCCCAGAGCCUGAAUCAGCAUGUGUGUUAGUGGAAGCGUCUGGAAAGGCGCGCGAUACAGGGUGACAGCCCCGUACACAAAAGCGCAUGUGCUGUGAGCUCGAUGAGUAGGGCGGGACACGUGGUAUCCUGUCUGAAUAUGGGGGGACCAUCCUCCAAGGCUAAAUACUCCUGACUGACCGAUAGUGAACCAGUACCGUGAGGGAAAGGCGAAAAGAACCCCGGCGAGGGGAGUGAAAAAGAACCUGAAACCGUGUACGUACAAGCAGUGGGAGCCCCACCACUAAGCCAGUGGUGAACUCCACAUCCGCAUCCUUUGCUGAGGAUACGGUUAACGGAGCGAAAGCGACGUUCAACCGCAAAACAAGCAGAGGGGGCUUAG
This 655-nucleotide ribosomal RNA is filed under the name Salmonella enterica subsp. enterica. Its description in RNAcentral is "partial 23S ribosomal RNA". It matches the Rfam family "Bacterial large subunit ribosomal RNA", at positions 1 to 671 of the family's 2925-position model. The record is from RNAcentral. RNAcentral also lists the same sequence under 1 other name. Lineage: Bacteria; Pseudomonadati; Pseudomonadota; Gammaproteobacteria; Enterobacterales; Enterobacteriaceae.